Molecule: ribosomal RNA, 309 nt
Filed under: uncultured bacterium
Lineage: Bacteria
Description: partial 16S ribosomal RNA
Rfam family: Bacterial small subunit ribosomal RNA
Source: RNAcentral
AGAGACAGCAGCAGCCACGGUAAUACAGAGGGUGCGAGCGUUAAUCGGAUUUACUGGGCGUAAAGCGUGCGUAGGCGGCUUCUUAAGUCGGAUGUGAAAUCCCUGAGCUUAACUUAGGAAUUGCAUUCGAUACUGGGAUGCUAGAGUAUGGGAGAGGAUGGUAGAAUUCCAGGUGUAGCGGUGAAAUGCGUAGAGAUCUGGAGGAAUACCGAUGGCGAAGGCAGCCAUCUGGCCUAAUACUGACGCUGAGGUACGAAAGCAUGGGGAGCAAACAGGAUUAGAUACCCCAGUAGUCCCUGUCUCUUAUAC